RNAcentral lists this ribosomal RNA (254 nucleotides) under uncultured bacterium. RNAcentral describes it as "partial 16S ribosomal RNA". It matches the Rfam family "Bacterial small subunit ribosomal RNA", at positions 524 to 776 of the family's 1533-position model. The record is from RNAcentral.
CACGUAGGGGGCAAGCGUUGUCCGGAUUUAUUGGGCGUAAAGAGCUCGUAGGUGGUUCGGUAAGUCGGGCGUUAAACCCCCAGGCUCAACCUGGGGACGCCACUCGAUACUGCUGUGACUAGAGUCCGGUAGGGGAGCGUGGAAUUCCUGGUGUAGCGGUGAAAUGCGCAGAUAUCAGGAGGAACACCAGCGGCGAAGGCGGCGCUCUGGGCCGGUACUGACACUGAGGAGCGAAAGCGUGGGUAGCAAACAGG